Molecule: long non-coding RNA, 2477 nt
Organism: Musa acuminata AAA Group (dessert banana)
Lineage: Eukaryota; Viridiplantae; Streptophyta; Magnoliopsida; Zingiberales; Musaceae
Exons: 2
Source: RefSeq, a predicted model, not a curated record
GAAAACAACCCAAAGAAGUGACCGAGGCGGUUGGGACGGAGAGAAGUGAGACGACGAAUUGGGAGUCGAAAGGCAGACCCAGGCGGGGCGUGUAGGUCUUCGAUCGUCGCAGCGUAGAUCGAUGGUUCUGGUAAAGAAGGCGGAGGAGGAGGAGGAGGAGGAGGGAAGCGGGGGCCGAUGGGCGUCUCCUUCAAUGGCUCCCGGGACGCGGAUCCAGCCAAAACCAAGAUCGAUGCCGGAGGGAGGUUGGACACUCUCGUACCUUGUCGAAGCUGGGUCGGAGCGCCCAGAUGUAGAUUGAUUGAGGUUGUGAGGCAACUUCUGAAUUUGGAUCAAGGAAGUUAAUGGAGCCUGACGUUCUGAAGCCUGAUCUGAAAUCUCAAGCACAGAUCCUAGUUUUGGAUCUCUUUAUCUUAUCAGGGUACAAUUCUUGAAUCUUUAUCUGAGAACUUGUUAUAAUCUAGAACAUGACUCUGAUCCAACCUGCAAUGUUGCAUGUAGAUCCACAUUUUGAAACUAUAGGUGGAUCGGUCCAAAAUUAUGUAAUUCUUUAACCUACCAAGAUUAGUCCAAGUCUGUGUUAAGCUAGGUUUAAGAAUUUAGAUUGCAGCAGGUCCUGAUGCAUUGAUCUCCUUCCUUGCCAAUCUUCCAGACUAGAUUGUAUCUAAUUCCUUGCAUGAUACAUAAGCAACUCAAACAAUAACAUCGUUUUGGGCCUCUAGGUUGAUAAAAAUGUUUGUGAUCUCAGGUUCAUGCGUAGAGAGAUGAUCAAUAAAACUUUGUUAAGGUAGAUGAAGAAGCAAGAUCGCCGGCUAGUACCAUUAAUAUAUUGUGAUUGACUUGUUCCAUCGAGAGAAUUUCCUUUUUAGUGUUUCCUUUUAAGGUCUACUUAUCCUUUUGCACUAUUAAUGGUGAACCUGUAAAUCUUCUUUGAACAUAUUCCUGACAUCAUAAUCUCUUUUGUUUCAGGUGAAGUUAUUUUAAUCAUAGACAAAUACAAGUUCUUUAUAAUAAUCUCACAGAUUAUCUCUUAAACAAUCUAAGAUAUAAAUGAAAGAUUAGUAAAAGAUAUUUAACUCAAAUGUACUAGUUUUUUGCACACAAGUACUGUUUGCUUGGGAGAUGUUUACAUUCCAAUUGGUAUGAUCUUCCAUGGGCCGCUGGAACCAAUCAAUGAGACCUCACUUCAGGUAUGUUGAUGGUGCUUCUGUCAACUAUACUAAAUUCAUUAAUAAGACUUUGCAGGCAAUAGGAUAAAUCUUUUUCUACCAAUUCUUUAACUGUCAUGAAUACUUUCAAGGUAACAAGUAAAUGAUUUGUGCCGAAUUUAAUCUGAUCUAAAUUUCUAGUCUCCAACCUAUUCCUCUGUCAUGCUACUCUACUCUCUCCUCACCUCUUAAAGAAAUUAACAGCAAGUUCCGGCUUAGUUUUGUGGUUGUUUCAGGAUGCACAAUCAACAACCAUGCAGUCUUAUGGAUUUUUCCUGGUUUCUUGGUCUCCAUAAUUUUUUUUUAUUAAUGUGAAUUUGCUUCUAAAUUUUGGUCUUAGUCAAAUCCGAAUCAAAUCAUGUUUUUCGAUACUUUGGGCAUCUGGUCUUAUAGGUUGGAGCUAGAAAACCAGUGGCAACUAUUUUCUUGGGAGCUUUGUUGUAGUUAGUUCCUUGUGGUUCUGUGGAAUUAUCUUAAUAAUUAUAUUGCACAAUCAUCAUGUCCAAUUUAAGGGGAUUGCUCCUUUGCAAUAUACUUGAAUAAUUGCAUGGUGGUGGACUUCCUAUUCUUUGAUUUAUCUUUGCUCCCAUCUAAAUAUUUUCUUAUAUAAUAUUCUUUUCUGAAGAGUCUUUACUUUCUUGAUAAGGAAAUUUCUUGAUUCUUACUAUUCCUAAUUCUUAAAAAUAUAGAAAUUUCAGUUCUCUAGAUAUAUGUUUUUCUUAAGAAUUCUUUCAAUCAUAACCAUAUAGAUAUUAUUUUCUGAUUUGCUUUGCCCUCUUUUAUCCCCUGCUCUACAGUAUUCGUCUUCUGUAAUCUCUCUCUCUCUCUCGGCAAAAUGGUUUCCCUCCAUCCUCCUCAUCUUAAACAUUUGCACCAUCUACCUCUCCUUAUAUGAUAAUGCUUUUGGACGUCUGUCACUCUCAUUGUGUUUACAUAACACUUAGUCUCUUUCUUGAUCUUUGCAUCCCAAGCGGACGUGACGCUUGACGGUCAUGGAGAUUCGACCCGCCUACGUGCCCUCGGGACUCCUUUAUCAACUACCUCGCUAGAGCGCUCUCUUCUCGUCUCUCUCCGGACGUGGGAGGUGGUGGCUUAUCGACGAUCGAGGAUUGCUUUCGGUGGUACGGGCUACAUAAUAUCUUGUUUCUUUUGAUAUCUUAUUUCGUUCUGACUUAUUCAAAUCUUGUCGUCGGCUACAACACAUAAAUCUUGGUAUCUUUGUUUUUGGUUGCCGAGGUAAAUCUUGACAUUCUUGAUUUGUUGGACGUA